RNAcentral lists this transfer RNA (72 nucleotides) under Microbacterium phage Big4. Its description in RNAcentral is "tRNA-Gln". It matches the Rfam family "tRNA". Rfam says of the family: Transfer RNA (tRNA) molecules are approximately 80 nucleotides in length. Their secondary structure includes four short double-helical elements and three loops (D, anti-codon, and T loops). The record is from RNAcentral. Lineage: Duplodnaviria; Heunggongvirae; Uroviricota; Caudoviricetes.
ACUCUGGUCGUCUAAUGGCAAGACGUUGGGUUUUGGUCCCAACUAUAGGGGUUCGAAUCCUCUCCGGAGUGC